CAGACAAAUCUCACAGCCACACAAACGCUUGCUUUUGCUUUUAAUGGCUCAACAACAACAUUUUCCAAUGUGAAACGUGUCUUCUCUGUCCUCCGCCCAAGCUGAUGGGAAAAUCUGAACAAGGCGAGGGGUAUCAGUCUCUCCAGCCUCUCUCUCCUCCCUCAUUCUCUUCUGGGACAGCUGCUCCUCGUCAUGCUGACCAUCUUGCUUGCUCUUCUACCUGGCUCUGGAGUGGGACACACUGUCACGCAGAGGCCAGAAUAUGCCCUCAAGAGAGCUGGAGAGAGUGUGGACCUCACCUGUUCUGGCAGGCUUGCCUACGUCUUGUGGUACCAGCAGCCUUCAAGAAAUAGUCUGAAGUUAAUAGCCAGCACUUCUCGGUGGCAUCAGAAUUCUUAUGAGGAAGGUUACAGUGAAGCCAAGUUUGAGAUAAGCAGGGACAAGAACAAUCUCUCCAUUAUGACUAUCAAGAAUGUGACAUCCAAGGAUGCUGCCACUUACUUCUGUGCUAUGAGUGAUCACACAAUGCAGCAAGAGCAUUAA
This is a non-coding RNA of Lagopus leucura (white-tailed ptarmigan), 543 nucleotides long. Lineage: Eukaryota; Metazoa; Chordata; Aves; Galliformes; Phasianidae. The record is from the annotation of a RefSeq genome assembly.